Long non-coding RNA from Wyeomyia smithii (pitcher-plant mosquito), 1202 nucleotides. RefSeq lists it as uncharacterized. The transcript is spliced from 3 exons. The record is from RefSeq and is a predicted model, not a curated record. NCBI's taxonomy places the organism in Eukaryota, Metazoa, Arthropoda, Insecta, Diptera, Culicidae.
UUAAAGCAGGCAUGUCCAAACCCACCACACCACUUGCGUGUGUGUUUUAGGCGAUUUUUUUUUUAGUUUAAAAAUAGUUUAUUUGACACGGCACGAUACAAAUUAUGUUUAACUGAGCCAAGUACGCCAAGCCAAAAUGUAUUCAUUUGUACGUGGCUAACCAGUGAUGUUCUAUUUGAGUAGUUUUGGUCUGAGGUGUCUGCGUAAACAUAGAGAUGCCGAGUCUUCGUUUUAGUGUCUCCAGCCGGGUGUAUCUUUCUCAUUCAGUUUGUGACAGAAAUUGUAUUCUAGCAAAUAGAUAAAAGAAAUCAAAUUUUAAUGCCAGCAUUAAAUAUAAAUCCGUAUAGCUGUGUCAUGUACUGGAGAUCACCGCUUCCCAGAAUGUCUCUAACGGGUACGUUCGGUUGUUUUCCUCGGGCCCGAAGGGAAUCUAUAAGCUCAGACCUAACACCACAGUAUUCGGUACACGACCAAACAACAUGCUCGAUGUCAUGGUAGCCAUCGCCACAAACGCAGUGAUUACUGUCUACAAGCCCUAUACGAAAGAGAUGCGUGUUUAACGUGUAGUGAUUGGACAUAAGUCUGGACAUCACGCGAAUGAAGUCGCGACCUACAUCCAACCCCUUGAACCAUGCUUUCGUCGAUACUUUAGGAAAAAUGGAAUAUAGCCACCGUCCCAGUUCAUCUGAGUUCCAUGAUGAUUGCCAACUGUUGAGUGUUUUCUGACGCAAAAUGCUAUAAAAUUCACCAUCAGCAAUUGGUCUUACAUAAAUAUCGCCAUCAAUAGCACCCACCUUAGCUAAAGCGUCAGCCUCUUUAUUGCCCGGAAUGGAACAAUGAGAAAGGACCCACGCUAAGGAAAUACGGGGUGUGCUUCACAGUCUUCAUCGAUCGCAGAGCCUCAAUGGCACUGAGACUGUCUGUGAAGAUGAAGUAGUGGUCUAUGGGCAGGGCUUCGAUGAUCCCAAUAGAGUACUGAAUAGCAGCAAGUUCUGCGACGUACACGGAAGCAGGAGCAUCGAGUUUGUAGGAGGCGGUAAAGUUUUCGUGGAAAACACCGAAGCCAGUGGACUCAUCUAGAUUAGAUCCGUCAGUGUAAAACCUUUUAUCACAACUAACAUGUUUAAACUUAUUGGAAAAAAUCUUAGGGAUCUCUUGGGGUCGCAAUUGAUCCGGGAUACCAGAAAUGUCUUGUUUCAUGG